ACGAAGGGGGCUAGCGUUGUUCGGAAUAACUGGGCGUAAAGCGCACGUAGGCGGAUUGUUAAGUGAGGGGUGAAAUCCCAGGGCUCAACCCUGGAACUGCCUUUCAUACUGGCAAUCUUGAGUUCGAGAGAGGUGAGUGGAAUUCCGAGUGUAGAGGUGAAAUUCGUAGAUAUUCGGAGGAACACCAGUGGCGAAGGCGGCUCACUGGCUCGAUACUGACGCUGAGGUGCGAAAGCGUGGGGAGCAAACAGG
This 252-nucleotide ribosomal RNA is filed under the name uncultured bacterium. RNAcentral describes it as "partial 16S ribosomal RNA". It matches the Rfam family "Bacterial small subunit ribosomal RNA", at positions 525 to 776 of the family's 1533-position model. The record is from RNAcentral.